AACGAACGCUGGCGGCGUGCCUAACACAUGCAAGUCGAGGGAGAAAAGGGGCUUCGGCUCCUGAGUAAACCGGCGCACGGGUGAGUAACACGUAGGUAACGUACCCUUGAGUCUGGGAUAACCAGUCGAAAGACUGGCUAAUACCAGAUACGACUGCGGGAGCUCAGGCUUCUGCAGUGAAAGAUGGCCUCUACUUGUAAGCUAUCACUCAUGGAUCGGCCUGCGCACCAUUAGCUAGUUGGUGAGGUAAAGGCUCACCAAGGCUGAGAUGGUUAGCUGGUCUGAGAGGAUGGCCAGCCACACUGGGACUGAGACACGGCCCAGACUCCUACGGGAGGCAGCAGUGGGGAAUAUUGCGCAAUGGGC
This 366-nucleotide ribosomal RNA is filed under the name uncultured bacterium. RNAcentral's name for it is "bacterial SSU rRNA". It matches the Rfam family "Bacterial small subunit ribosomal RNA", at positions 29 to 376 of the family's 1533-position model. The record is from RNAcentral.